RNAcentral lists this long non-coding RNA (1067 nucleotides) under Olea europaea subsp. europaea. Lineage: Eukaryota; Viridiplantae; Streptophyta; Magnoliopsida; Lamiales; Oleaceae. The record is from RNAcentral.
ACCACCCGAUCAAGAACCAAAAUUAAAGCCGCUGAUCCCACCAAUUCCCGGCCCGUUUUGAAACUCAAACUCUCCACCAAGCACUUAAAACCCAUCACAGAACCGGACCCAAAACCUCCCAUAAUAGAUUCAUUUCGAAGCCAUCCCCAGAUCCCUCCACCAAACUUCUCCAAUUUACCUUUUCAAAUCCAUACUUCAACACACCACCAAAAUUACCAUAAUGCCUCUGAUACUCUUUUACCCGGCAGCCAUUGCUUGUCGAAAUUCGCAUCUUUUUCCAAUAAAGGCCAGAAUAAAAAUCUCAUUUUUGAGCCCAGUGAAAAGGAUUUUCCAACUGAAACUAAAAGUGAAAUUCAUGUGCAAAAUGCUGACCUGGUAAAAGUGAAAAAUGAAGCUGCUAGCCAACGAAUUUCUUCCAAAAAGGUGAGUAAACAUCUUAAUUUGAUUGGUGUUAAUGUUUCUUCCACAAAGAAUGUGAACAAGCCUAAACGUGUUAGUGAGGGUAAUUUUGUGAAGCUUAAUAUAAAUGGCUAUGGGAGGAAAAAGUUUGCCUUUAAGAAUAAAAGAAAGAGCUUUAGUGCAUAUAGUGGGCGUAGAAAAUUUUCAAGAUAUUAUAAAAAGAAAUCGAGAGUUGGAAAUGAAGGAAAGGAAAGUGGUGAGAUUCUCGAUGAAGAGGGCUUGGUUUUGGAGAUUGGAGAGAGAGAGGAAAGUAUGGAUUUUGAUAGUGAAUCGAUUGAGGAGGCUGUGAUGAGUGUACGAAAAGAGGCCUCCGAUGGAAAUUUGGAGAAGUUAUUAAAGUUCACACAUGGGUAUGAUUCAUUUAGGAAUGGUCAGUUGGAGGCAAUCAAGAUGGUGCUCUCUGGGAAAUCGACAAUGCUGGUUUUACCAACGGGUUCUGGCAAGUCUCUGUGUUAUCAGUUGCCUGCGUUGAUUUUGCCAGGAGUCACCCUUGUGGUGAGUCCUUUAGUGGCUUUGAUGAUCGAUCAACUUAAACAGCUGCCUCCUGCAAUUCCGGGUGGCCUUUUGUGUAGCAGCCAGGUAUUUUCUUUCUCAGUGUUGGUGAAUAC